Molecule: transfer RNA, 71 nt
Filed under: uncultured Ruminococcus sp.
Lineage: Bacteria; Bacillati; Bacillota; Clostridia; Eubacteriales; Oscillospiraceae
Also listed under: 1 other name
Rfam family: tRNA
About the family: Transfer RNA (tRNA) molecules are approximately 80 nucleotides in length. Their secondary structure includes four short double-helical elements and three loops (D, anti-codon, and T loops).
Source: RNAcentral
GGGGUAUAGCUCAGCUGGGAGAGUGCUUGACUGGCAGUCAAGAGGUCACGGGUUCGAGCCCCGUUAUCUCC